UACGUAGGGGGCAAGCGUUGUCCGGAAUCAUUGGGCGUAAAGGGCGUGUAGGCGGCCCGAUAAGUCCGCUGUGAAAGUCCAGGGCUCAACCCUGGGAUGCCGGUGGAUACUGUCGGGCUCGAGUCCGGAAGAGGAGUGUGGAAUUCCUGGUGUAGCGGUGAAAUGCGCAGAUAUCAGGAGGAACACCAAUGGCGAAGGCGAUCAUCUGGGGCUGUUCUGACGCUGAGGAGCGAAAGCUAGGGGAGCAAACGGG
RNAcentral lists this ribosomal RNA (253 nucleotides) under uncultured bacterium. RNAcentral's name for it is "partial 16S ribosomal RNA". It matches the Rfam family "Bacterial small subunit ribosomal RNA", at positions 524 to 776 of the family's 1533-position model. The record is from RNAcentral.